AAGUCCUAGACAGUUUAAAAAUAGUUAGGGAAAAAGGAUUUUUUCUUAAGAAAUAAAGGUGAAAUAAAGCAUGGAGUCAGGUAGAGAUUCAAUCCAGAGACAUUUCAAUCUAGAGUGGCCCAGCCUGUAGCUGACAUGGCUUCUCAGUCCAUUCCCUGCCUUGCCUGCAGCUUCCACAUGAAUGACCACUGGCCCAUACAGGGCUUGCACCUUGCUGGGCCCUGUAUGGCAAUUUCCUAAUCCUAGCAAGCCUGGGGGUGCUGCAGGAGGCCAGGGCAUGUUUCAUCCCUUAUCUGCAACUGCAUAAGGCAGACACCCCCCUGAGAGGCCAUUAUAGAGGGACCCCCCCCCCCGGGAAAGCAUUCUUUUCCCAGGGCUGUGAAUUA
RNAcentral lists this long non-coding RNA (386 nucleotides) under Pan troglodytes (chimpanzee). Its description in RNAcentral is "long non-coding RNA NONPTRT007582". Lineage: Eukaryota; Metazoa; Chordata; Mammalia; Primates; Hominidae. The record is from RNAcentral.